UCCAGACUCCUACGGGAGGCAGCAGUGGGGAAUAUUGCACAAUGGGGGGAACCCUGAUGCAGCGACGCCGCGUGGGUGAAGGAGCACCUCGGUGCGUAAAGCCCUAUCGGCAGGGAAGAAAAGCGAACAGGUUCGCCUGGACGGUACCUGACUAAGAAGCCCCGGCUAACUACGUUCCAGCAGCCGCGGUAAUACGUAGGGGGCAAGCGUUAUCCGGAUUUACUGGGUGUAAAGGGAGCGUAGACGGUCCUGCAAGCCAGAUGUGAAAGCCCGGGGCUCAACCCCGGGACUGCAUUUGGAACUGUAAGGCUAGAGUGUCGGAGAGGCAGGCGGAAUUCCUAGUGUAGCGGUGAAAUGCGUAGAUAUUAGGAGGAACACCAGUGGCGAAGGCGGCCUGCUGGGCUUUUACUGACGCUGAGGCUCGAAAGUGUGGGGAGCAAACAGGAUUAGAUACCCCCGUA
This 461-nucleotide ribosomal RNA is filed under the name uncultured bacterium. RNAcentral describes it as "bacterial SSU rRNA". It matches the Rfam family "Bacterial small subunit ribosomal RNA", at positions 330 to 792 of the family's 1533-position model. The record is from RNAcentral.